This 398-nucleotide transfer-messenger RNA is filed under the name Bacteroidia bacterium. It matches the Rfam family "transfer-messenger RNA". Rfam says of the family: Bacterial tmRNA, also known as 10Sa RNA or SsrA, is named for its dual tRNA and mRNA-like properties. The record is from RNAcentral. Lineage: Bacteria; Pseudomonadati; Bacteroidota; Bacteroidia.
GGGCUUGACCGGUUUUGACAGCGGGUAGAAGUGGUUUGUAAGCAUGCAGUGCGUCGUUGUUCGGCACUUUAAUCUCGGAUGAUAAACAAUUAACUGGCGAAAAUAAUUACGCUCUCGCUGCUUAAUCGAAGUAUAGUAGAUUUCAAGCUUUAUUCCUUCUCAAGGAGUUGGAACGAGACAUCACCCGGAAGCUCUGGCUUCGAAGCAAUCCGACCCGGUGGUGCAGCCAUAUCGGAGAUAGUCUGAAGUAGGUCUUGGACUUUGGAUGAAAUUAAGAGAAUAAGCUCAAUAUUGGUGGCUUUGGUCUUGUGUUGAGUCGAAAAAUUAAGCAAAGAUAAGCAUGUAGAAAGCAAAUUAAUUCCUCGUUUGGACGAGGGUUCGAAUCCCUCCAGGUCCAC